Molecule: ribosomal RNA, 301 nt
Filed under: uncultured bacterium
Lineage: Bacteria
Description: bacterial SSU rRNA
Rfam family: Bacterial small subunit ribosomal RNA
Source: RNAcentral
AGCCUACGGGAGGCAGCAGUGGGGAAUAUUGCACAAUGGGGGAAACCCUGAUGCAGCAACGCCGCGUGAGUGAAGAAGUAUUUCGGUAUGUAAAGCUCUAUCAGCAGGGAAGAAGAAAGACGGUACCUGACUAAGAAGCCCCGGCUAACUACGUGCCAGCAGCCGCGGUAAUACGUAGGGGGCAAGCGUUGUUCGGAAUGACUGGGCGUAAAGGGUGUGUAGGCGGUUUAGCAAGUUAGAAGUGAAAUACCUAGAGCUUAACUCAGGUGCUGCUUCUAAAACUGCUAGACUUGAGUGCAGU